RNAcentral lists this long non-coding RNA (1224 nucleotides) under Phasianus colchicus (ring-necked pheasant). RNAcentral describes it as "lncRNA (ENSPCLG00000012374.1)". Lineage: Eukaryota; Metazoa; Chordata; Aves; Galliformes; Phasianidae. The record is from RNAcentral.
AUGGGGUGGGAGGGUGGGGGCACACGGUGGGGGGGGGGGUGGGAGCAGCUUUGCUUCUGGCAAGGUGGAGGAUUCGCUGGGUGUAGUGUUAGCGCUUUGGCAGCCCCCAGCCCAGAGGGGAAGGGGCUGCCCACGGCUCUGCUGGGUGCUGCUUCGCUUAAGGGCAUGGGAAAGGGCAGCUCCUUGCCUCCAGCCCUGCUCACUGCCACCACCGAGCCACCCACCAUCUCCAAAGCAAGCAGGGGGAAAGGAGGGCUCUGGGGCAGCCGCCCCAUCACUGUGCCUGGCCCAAGGCCUGGGCUGCAGAAAUGUCAGGUUGUUCCCCACCCCCCCAUCUGCCCCCAACAUGGUGUAUUUCUUCCUUUCAUCUCUGAAUCAAGCCAUCGAUACAGCAAUAAGGCUGGGGCAGCACCAAGGCUCUGCGCUCCGCUCACUGCGCAGCAUGGCCAGGGCUGUGCCACACUGCUGUGCCACACUGCUGUGCUCCCCAUGCCAAGCCCUGAGAGGCACAGAGGGCAGAGCAGCCCCCCCACCACCACACAGAAGCAGGCACCACCUACCUUCCCCUCCCUGCUGCCCCAACAGAGGAUUUCUGGGGUGAGAGCAGGGGAAGGGGAACAGGCAAACAGGGUGCAGGAUGGGCAGCAGCGUGUGGCAGGGCAGCACCCAGAGCACACAGCAGGGGUACUGGUGACCCCAUUGCUGCUAUGCCCUGGAUGCCAGGAGGUGCAGAGCUCCCCCCCACCCCCCUCUUUCCCCACUCACCAUUUCGUUUCUCUGCUUCCUCCCAGCUUGGGCUCACCAGGCCAGCUCUCGCUCAGCUCUCAGUUAAAACGCGCUGCUCUUAAACUGAGUUUUGUUUGCCCCGUUUCCCUCGUGGCAGUAAACAGUCCUGGCACAACCUAUUCCUGCUCCAUUCAGCAGAGGACAGGGCCCAGCAUCCAGGGCACUUCUCAACUUCUCUCUAUACAAAACACUUCUUCAGCAGCCGCCUGUCUGCUAUCUCACUUCUGGGCAGUUACUGUACAAAGGAGGGAACUGUUUCUUUGUUUUUUUUUUUUUCCCUUGCUGUGUGCUACUUCUUUGGCAACUGAAAGAAAUGAAGGGGGUUAUUUAUUUCUUUUUAAUUUAUUGUCAUAUUUUUGUAAAACCUGCAGAAAUGCAAUAAAAGUAUAUUUCAACAAACUUGAGGCGUGUGCUAAGUUACUUUCCUACCAGAUCUGA